UCUAGGAAAUACAGUAGCUUUUCGGCAUUUGACUCUAGCUUCUCGCCAAAGUUUGGCCCAAAAAAUAUUAACUUGGAUCAGAUGUUGGCUAAACUUGGGCAAAAGUUGGGCAAGACUUCGACAAAACUUGGUUUGGGCCGAAGU
Molecule: non-coding RNA, 144 nt
Organism: Caenorhabditis elegans
Lineage: Eukaryota; Metazoa; Nematoda; Chromadorea; Rhabditida; Rhabditidae
Source: Ensembl